Molecule: ribosomal RNA, 700 nt
Filed under: Pseudoperonospora cubensis
Lineage: Eukaryota; Oomycota; Peronosporomycetes; Peronosporales; Peronosporaceae
Description: LSU rRNA
Rfam family: Eukaryotic large subunit ribosomal RNA
Source: RNAcentral
CGAGGAGGUAGGGCUUACGCUCGCGUUUGUCUGUUAUAUCUUGGUGGACGAGUUGUCGCGGUUGGGACUGAGGUGCCUACAACGUGCUUUUGAGUGAGUUUGUGUCUCCGUGUGCGCCGUGUGCGGAUAGCUUGCUAUGUAUGUGCGGUUGUGUGUGGAUUGAUGCGGGCCUUAACUUGUCGCCGUUCGGGACGUUGACGAAAUGGAGCGAUCCGACCCGUCUUGAAACACGGACCAAGGAGUCUAACAUGUGUGCAAGUGUUAGGGUGUGGAAACCCCAGCGCGAAAUGAAAGUGAAGGGCAGCGCAAGUUGUCUGAGGUAGGAAACGUUGCGGGCCUCGGUCUGCGGCGUGGCACUAUCGACCGAUCAUGAACCUUCGUGGUGAAAGAUUUGAGUUUGAGCACAUAUGUUGGUACCCGAAAGAUGGUGAACUAUGCCUGAGUAGGGUGAAGCCAGGGGAAACUCUGGUGGAAGCUCGUAGCGAUUCUGACGUGCAAAUCGAUCGUCAAACUUGGGUAUAGGGGCGAAAGACUAAUCGAACCAUCUAGUAGCUGGUUCCCUCCGAAAUUUCCCUCAGGAUAGCAGCAACUUAUUUACGAUAGUUUUAUGAGGUAAAGCGAAUGAUUAGAGGAUUCGGGGAAGAAACUUCCUCGACCUAUUCUCAAACUUUAAAUCUGUAAGACCUGCAGGUUUCUUAAU